RNAcentral lists this small RNA (19 nucleotides) under Arabidopsis thaliana (thale cress). Its description in RNAcentral is "ATSL183960". The record is from RNAcentral. Lineage: Eukaryota; Viridiplantae; Streptophyta; Magnoliopsida; Brassicales; Brassicaceae.
UCAGAUUCUUCUUCUUCUU